AAGUCGUGGGGCAGCAUGAGUAGCAAUACUUGAUGGACGACCGGCAAACGGGUGAGGAACACGUACACAACCUUCCUUCAAGCGGGGAAUAGCCCAGAGAAAUUUGGAUUAAUACCCCAUAAUAUAUUUGAUAAGGCAUCUUAUUAAUAUUAAAGCUUCGGCACUUGAUGAUGGGUGUGCGGCUGAUUAGAUAGUUGGCGGGGUAACGGCCCACCAAGUCUACGAUCAGUAGCUGAUGUGAGAGCAUGAUCAGCCACACGGGCACUGAGACACGGGCCCGACUCCUACGGGAGGCAGCAGUAAGGAUAUUGGACAAUGGACGAAAGUCUGAUCCAGCCAUGCCCGCGUGAAGGUAUUAAGGUCCUCUGGAUUGUAAACUUCUUUUAUAUGGGACGAAAAAAGGGCAUUCUUGUUCACUUGACGGUACCAUAUGAAUAAGCACCGGCUAACUCCGUG
RNAcentral lists this ribosomal RNA (456 nucleotides) under uncultured bacterium. Its description in RNAcentral is "bacterial SSU rRNA". It matches the Rfam family "Bacterial small subunit ribosomal RNA", at positions 59 to 507 of the family's 1533-position model. The record is from RNAcentral.